Molecule: ribosomal RNA, 603 nt
Filed under: Synchonnus flavonotatum
Lineage: Eukaryota; Metazoa; Arthropoda; Insecta; Coleoptera; Lycidae
Description: partial 16S large subunit ribosomal RNA
Rfam family: Bacterial large subunit ribosomal RNA
Source: RNAcentral
CAUGUCCUUUCGACAAUAAUUUAAGGUCUAAUCUGCUCAAUGAAAUUUUAAAUUGCCGCAGUAUUUUGACUGUGCAAAGGUAGCAUAAUAAUUAGUUUCUUAAUUAGAAGCUGGAAUGAAUGAUUGGACAAGAAAAUUUCUGUCUCUUUUUCAGUUGUUUUUGAAUUUUAUUUUUAAGUUAAAAAGCUUAAAUUUUUAUAAAAGACGAGAAGACCCUAUAGAGUUUAAUAUUAUUAUCUAAUUUAAUGAUAGAAUAAUUUUUUUGAUAAUUUUAUUUGGUUGGGGUGAUUGGAAGAUAUAAUAAAUUCUUCAAAUUUUUAAUUAGUGAUUUCUAAAUAUAAAAUCUAUGUUAAUAAAAUUAAAAUAAAUUACCUUAGGGAUAACAGCGUUAUUUUUCUUGAAAGUUCUUAUUUAAAGAAAAGUUUGCGACCUCGAUGUUGGAUUAAAAUUAAUUUUUGGUGCAAUAACUUAAAAAUUAGGUCUGUUCGACCUUUAAAAUUUUACAUGAUCUGAGUUUAAACCGGUGUAAACCAGGUUGGAUUCUAUCUUUAGAGUAUAAUUAUAUUUUAGUACGAAAGGACCAAAUAUAAAUUUUAAAAAUUG